CAACGUUUGUUUUUCUCCGUUUAUGCGUUGUGUGUUCGUUUGAAUGAAAACGUCGCGAGUGUUGUAACAAAAACCACGGAAAACAGAAGAAGAAUACGGGAGCAAAAGGAAUUCCAGGCUACAGCAGAAUGCCCAUUGCCCAACAGGGUUUCGUUCCAUGGUAUUUCAACGAGGCCACUGCAAUGAGAAAAGAAUUCCUGAAGCCAAAGAAAAUGAUACACCCAAAUAGCAGAAAGUCUAUCGCUAUUACGAAAAAAGCCAAAAAAAUAUCAAAUAGACAGAAGGCAGAAAUGU
This is a long non-coding RNA of Bombus huntii, 294 nucleotides long. RefSeq lists it as uncharacterized. The record is from RefSeq and is a predicted model, not a curated record. Lineage: Eukaryota; Metazoa; Arthropoda; Insecta; Hymenoptera; Apidae. The transcript is spliced from 3 exons.